AGAGUUUGAUCCUGGCUCAGGAUGAACGCUGGCGGCGUGCUUAACACAUGCAAGUCGAACGAACCUUCGGGUUAGUGGCGGACGGGUGAGUAACGCGUGAGAAUCUGCCCUCAGGAGGGGGAUAACAGCUGGAAACGGCUGCUAAUACCCCAUAUGCCGCGAGGUGAAAUGAAUUUCGCCUGAGGAUGAGCUCGCGUCUGAUUAGCUAGUUGGUGUAGGUAAUGGCUCACCAAGGCAUCGAUCAGUAGCUGGUCUGAGAGGAUGAUCAGCCACACUGGGACUGAGACACGGCCCAGACUCCUACGGGAGGCAGCAGUGGGGAAUUUUCCGCAAUGGGCGAAAGCCUGACGGAGCAACGCCGCGUGAGGGAUGAAGGCCUCUGGGCUGUAAACCUCUUUUAUCAAGGAAGAAGAUCUGACGGUACUUGAUGAAUAAGCCACGGCUAAUUCCGUGCCAGCAGCCGCGGUAAUACGGGAGUGGCAAGCGUUAUCCGGAAUUAUUGGGCGUAAAGCGUCCGCAGGCGGCCCUUCAAGUCUGCUGUUAAAAAGUGGAGCUUAACUCCAUCAUGGCAGUGGAAACUGAGGGGCUUGAGUGUGGUAGGGGCAGAGGGAAUUCCCGGUGUAGCGGUGAAAUGCGUAGAUAUCGGGAAGAACACCAGUGGCGAAGGCGCUCUGCUGGGCCAUCACUGACGCUCAUGGACGAAAGCCAGGGGAGCGAAAGGGAUUAGAUACCCCUGUAGUCCUGGCCGUAAACGAUGAACACUAGGUGUCGGGGGAAUCGACCCCCUCGGUGUCGUAGCCAACGCGUUAAGUGUUCCGCCUGGGGAGUACGCACGCAAGUGUGAAACUCAAAGGAAUUGACGGGGGCCCGCACAAGCGGUGGAGUAUGUGGUUUAAUUCGAUGCAACGCGAAGAACCUUACCAGGGUUUGACAUCCUGCGAAUCUCUUGGAAACGAGAGAGUGCCUUCGGGAACGCAGUGACAGGUGGUGCAUGGCUGUCGUCAGCUCGUGUCGUGAGAUGUUGGGUUAAGUCCCGCAACGAGCGCAACCCACGUCUUUAGUUGCCAGCAUUUAGUUGGGCACUCUAGAGAGACCGCCGGUGAUAAACCGGAGGAAGGUGUGGAUGACGUCAAGUCAUCAUGCCCCUUACAUCCUGGGCUACACACGUACUACAAUGCUACGGACAAAGGGCAGCAAGUUCGCGAGGACAAGCAAAUCCCAUAAACCGUGGCUCAGUUCAGAUCGUAGGCUGCAACUCGCCUACGUGAAGGAGGAAUCGCUAGUAAUCGCAGGUCAGCAUACUGCGGUGAAUACGUUCCCGGGCCUUGUACACACCGCCCGUCACACCAUGGAAGUUGGCCACGCCCGAAGCCGUUACUCCAACCCUUGUGGAGGAGGACGUCGAAGGUGGGGCUGAUGACUGGGGUGAAGUCGUAACAAGGUAUCCGUACCGGAAGGUGCGGAUGGAUCACCUCCUAA
Molecule: ribosomal RNA, 1479 nt
Filed under: Synechococcus sp. CC9902
Lineage: Bacteria; Bacillati; Cyanobacteriota; Cyanophyceae; Synechococcales; Synechococcaceae
Description: bacterial SSU rRNA
Rfam family: Bacterial small subunit ribosomal RNA
Source: RNAcentral